UACGUAGGGGGCUAGCGUUGUCCGGAAUCAUUGGGCGUAAAGCGCGUGUAGGCGGUUCGGUAAGUCCGCUGUGAAAGUCGGGGGCUCAACCCUCGAAUGCCGGUGGAUACUGUCGGACUAGAGUACGGAAGAGGCGAGUGGAAUUCCUGGUGUAGCGGUGAAAUGCGCAGAUAUCAGGAGGAACACCGGUGGCGAAGGCGGGUCUCUGGGCCGUAACUGACGCUGAGGAGCGAAAGCGUGGGGAGCGAACAGG
RNAcentral lists this ribosomal RNA (253 nucleotides) under uncultured bacterium. Its description in RNAcentral is "partial 16S ribosomal RNA". It matches the Rfam family "Bacterial small subunit ribosomal RNA", at positions 524 to 776 of the family's 1533-position model. The record is from RNAcentral.